CAGAUAGUAGUUUAAAAAACACUGGCAUUGGAAGCUAGAGAUCAAAUAAAUUUUGCUAUCUGAC
RNAcentral lists this transfer RNA (64 nucleotides) under Plaxiphora albida. RNAcentral describes it as "tRNA-Pro". It matches the Rfam family "tRNA". Rfam says of the family: Transfer RNA (tRNA) molecules are approximately 80 nucleotides in length. Their secondary structure includes four short double-helical elements and three loops (D, anti-codon, and T loops). The record is from RNAcentral. Lineage: Eukaryota; Metazoa; Mollusca; Polyplacophora; Chitonida; Mopaliidae.